This 1430-nucleotide long non-coding RNA is filed under the name Phasianus colchicus (ring-necked pheasant). Its description in RNAcentral is "lncRNA (ENSPCLG00000017062.1)". Lineage: Eukaryota; Metazoa; Chordata; Aves; Galliformes; Phasianidae. The record is from RNAcentral.
AGCAGAGAGCUGAGCAGAGAGCUGAGCACAGGGCUGGGCACAGGGCUGGGCAAAGAGCAGGGCACAGAGCUGAGCAGUGCUGGGCACAGAGCUGGGUAAAGAUCAGGGCACAGAGGUGGGCACAGGGCUGAGCACAGGGCUGGGCACAGGGCUGGGCAUAGAACUGAACACAGGGCUGGGCACAGGGCUGGGCAUAGAACUGAACACAGGGCUGGGCACAGGGCUGGGCACUGGGCACAGGGCUGAGCGCAGCGUUGCUUUCUGCCCGCAGUACGUGACGGUGAAGCCGAACCAGAAGCAGCUGCUGCGGGGGCUGUUUGUCCCCGAGUGCCCGGGCUGCGGCACCCCACAGCUGGAGCAGGCUGUGGGCAUCGUGGGGGCCGUCAUCAUGCCCCACAACAUGUACCUGCACUCCGCGCUCGUCAAGGUGAGCCGUGCAAUAGGGGGCAGCGCAGUAAGGAGCAGCACAGUGAGCAGUGCAGUAAGGAGCAGUGCAGUAAGCAGUGCAAUAAGGAGCAGUGCAGUAAGGAGCAGUGCAGUGAGCAGUGCAAUGAGCAGCAGUGCAAUAAGGAGCAGUGCAGUAAGGAGCAGCGCAGUGAGCAGUGCAAUAAGGAGCAGUGCAGUAAAGGGCAGUGCAGUAAGGGGCAGUGCAAUGAGCAACAGUGCAAUGAGCAGCACAAUGAGCAGUGCAGUAAGGAGCAGUGCAGUAAGCAGCAGCAUGAGGAGCAGAGCAGUGAGAAGCAGAGCAGUGAGGAGCAGAGCAGUGAGGAGCAGAGCAGUGAGGAGCAGAGCAGUGAGGAGCAGAGCAGUGAGGAGCAGCAGUGCAGUGAGGAGCAGCAGUGCAGUGAGGAGCAGCAGCGCAAUGAGGAGCAGCGCAGUGAGCAGCAGUGCAGUGAGCAGUGCAAUAAGGGGCAGUGCAGUGAGCAGCAGUGCAAUGAGGAGCAGCACAAUGAGCAGCAGUGCAGUAAGAAGCAGUGCAGUGAGCAGUGCAAUGAGGAGCAGCUUAAUAAGCAGUGCAGUAAGGAGCAGCGCAAUGAGGAGCAGAGCAAUGAGAAGCAGUGCAGUGAGGAGCAGCAGUGCAGUGAGCAGCAGUGCAGUGAGCAGCCGUGCAAUGAGCAGCCGUGCAAUGAGCAGCCAUGGGCUGCAGCAGGGAUGGGAGCUCGCAGCUGUGAGCUCUGCAGGUCAGCACUGUGUGCAGCCUUUCCCCAUGGCAGUGGGGUCCGUGCAAGCAAAGCUGCAGCUGCACCAGGCAGCAGCCGCAUGCAUGGGGGCAGGGCUCCCUGUGCACCCCCACACUUUGCACCCCCAACUCUGUGCACCCCCAACUCUGUGCACACCAUCACUCUGCACCUCCCUGUGUGCACCCCCACUCUGUGCACCCCCCCACUUUGCACCCACACUCUGUGCACCCCCCACUUUGCACCCUCACA